AAGGUCUUCGGACCGAGUAGAGUGGCGGACGGGUGAGUAACGCGUGAGAAUCUGCCCUUUAGUGAGGAAUACCUCCGGGAAACUGGAGUUAAUACCGCAUAUGCCCUGUGGGGUAAAGACGGCCUCUUUGCUGUCGCUGAAGGAUGAGCUCGCGUAUUAUUAGUUAGUUGGUGGGGUAAAGGCCUACCAAGACAAAGAUAAUUAGCCGGCCUGAGAGGGUGAACGGCCACAUUGGGACUGAGACACGGCCCAAACUCCUACGGGAGGCAGCAGUUAGGAAUAUUGCACAAUGGGGGAAACCCUGAUGCAGCGACGCCGCGUGGAGGAAGAAGGCUUUCGAGUCGUAAACUCCUGUCAAGUGGGAAUAAAGAACUAGUGUUAAUAGCAUUGGGAGAUGAAGGUACCACUAAAGGAAGCUCCGGCUAACUUCGUGCCAGCAGCCGCGGUAAUACGAAGGGAGCGAGCGUUACUCGGAAUUACUGGGCGUAAAGGGCGCGUAGGCGGCCAUUUAAGUUGCUUGUUAAAGACCACUGCAUACCAGUGGGGAUGCGGGCAAAACUGAAAGGCUAGAGGAUAAGAGAGAGAAGUGGAAUUCUCGGAGUAGCGGUAAAAUGCGUAGAUCUCGAGAGGAACACCGGUGGCGAAGCGGCUUCUUGGCUUAUGCCUGACGCUGAGGUGCGAAAGCGUGGGGAGCAAACAGGAUUAGAUACCCUGCUAGUCCACGCCGUAACGAUGAUCACUAGAUGUGGAAUUGCGUAGCAGUUUCAGUGUCGAGCUAACGCG
This 783-nucleotide ribosomal RNA is filed under the name uncultured bacterium. Its description in RNAcentral is "bacterial SSU rRNA". It matches the Rfam family "Bacterial small subunit ribosomal RNA", at positions 73 to 859 of the family's 1533-position model. The record is from RNAcentral.